GGUGUUGCUAAGUGGUAUAGUGCAUGCUUUGUAUGUAUGAUGCCCUGGGUUCAACCCACAGGACGCUG
This 68-nucleotide transfer RNA is filed under the name Dallia pectoralis (Alaska blackfish). RNAcentral's name for it is "tRNA-OTHER". Lineage: Eukaryota; Metazoa; Chordata; Actinopteri; Esociformes; Umbridae. The record is from RNAcentral.